This is a non-coding RNA of Acanthosepion pharaonis, 114 nucleotides long. The record is from the annotation of a GenBank genome assembly. NCBI's taxonomy places the organism in Eukaryota, Metazoa, Mollusca, Cephalopoda, Sepiida, Sepiidae.
UUACGGCCACAUCAUGUUAAAACACCGAUUCCCGUACGAUCAGCUAGGUUAAGCAAUGUCCAGCCAGGUUAGUACCUAGAUGCGUAACCGCCUAGGAAUAUCAGGUGCUGUAAG